Molecule: transfer RNA, 68 nt
Filed under: Marmota monax (woodchuck)
Lineage: Eukaryota; Metazoa; Chordata; Mammalia; Rodentia; Sciuridae
Description: tRNA.Ala
Source: RNAcentral
GGUUAGUUGCUCAGUGGUAGACCACUUGCCUAGCAUGUAUGAGGCACUGGGUUCUAUCCUCAGCACCA